ACUCAAAUGAAUUGACGGGGACUCGCACAAGCGGUGGAGCAUGAGGUUUAAUUCGAUGAUAAGCGAGGAACCUUACCAGGGCUUGAAAUCCUAUUGUAAGCCAGCCGAAAGGUUGGCCCUCCCACAAGGACAGUAGGACAGGUGCUGCAUGGUUGUCGUCAGCUCGUGUCUUGAGAUGUUCCGUUAAGUCGGUUAACGAGCGCAACCCCUACCCCGUGUUACAAGUGUCACUGGGAACUGCCCAACUCUGUUGGGAGGAAGGAGGGGACGACGUCAAAUCAGCAUGGCCCUCUGAUGCCCUGGGCUACACUCGUGCUACAAUGGCCGUUACAAUGGGUUGCCAAGCCGCAAGGCGGAGCUAAUCCCAUCAAAGACGGCCCCAGUUCGGAUUGAAGGCUGCAACUCGCCUUCAUGAAGCCGGAAUCGCUAGUAAUCGCGGAUCAGCCAUGCCGCGGUGAAUACGUUCUCGAGUCUUGUACACACCGCCCGU
This 490-nucleotide ribosomal RNA is filed under the name uncultured bacterium. Its description in RNAcentral is "partial 16S ribosomal RNA". It matches the Rfam family "Bacterial small subunit ribosomal RNA", at positions 899 to 1397 of the family's 1533-position model. The record is from RNAcentral.